Long non-coding RNA from Patiria miniata (bat star), 423 nucleotides. RefSeq lists it as uncharacterized. The transcript is spliced from 2 exons. The record is from RefSeq and is a predicted model, not a curated record. Lineage: Eukaryota; Metazoa; Echinodermata; Asteroidea; Valvatida; Asterinidae.
CAAACUUGUGCACAGAUGUAUUGGUAAGGCUAACGACAGGGAUAUCUGUGUGGUGCAUUUGGCAGAGGUACACACUGUACGUGAGGUUUUUAGUCAGGUGUGUGAGGCACCGAUGUAUAAAACAUGUAACAAACUUGAGGUUCUGUGCACAGAUGUGUUAGUAAGGCUAACGACAGGGAUAUCUGUGUCGUGCAUUUGGCAGAGGUACACACUGUACGUGAGGUUUUUAGUCAGGUGUGUGAGGCACCGAUGUAUAAAACAUGUAACAAACUUGAGGUUCUGUGCACAGAUGUGUUAGUAAGGCUAACGACAGGGAUAUCUGUGUCGUGCAUUUGGCAGAGGUACACACUGUACGUGAGGUUUUUAGUCAGUUGUGUGAGGCACUGAUGUGUAAAACAUGUGACAAACUUGAGGUUCUUUACA